Molecule: ribosomal RNA, 305 nt
Filed under: uncultured bacterium
Lineage: Bacteria
Description: bacterial SSU rRNA
Rfam family: Bacterial small subunit ribosomal RNA
Source: RNAcentral
ACCUACGGGGCGCAGCAGUGAGGAAUAUUGGUCAAUGGUCGGGAGACUGAACCAGCCAAGCCGCGUGAGGGAUGAAGGUACAGAGUAUCGUAAACCUCUUUUGUCAGGGAACAAAGGCGGGGACGCGUCCCCGGAUGAGUGUACCUGAAGAAAAAGCAUCGGCUAACUCCGUGCCAGCAGCCGCGGUAAUACGGAGGAUGCGAGCGUUAUCCGGAUUUAUUGGGUUUAAAGGGUGCGCAGGCGGCGAGUUAAGUCAGCGGUAAAAUUUCGGGGCUCAACCCCGCCGAGCCGUUGAAACUGGCCUG